GACGAACGCUGGCGGCGUGCUUAACACAUGCAAGUCGAACGGAGAAGCGCCUUCCUUUUUGGUGGGUGUGGAUGAGUGGCGAACGGGUGAGUAACACGUGAGUAACCUGCCCCCUUCUUCUGGAUAACCGCAUGAAAGUGUGGCUAAUACGGGAUAUUCUGGGUCUGUCGCAUGAUGGGUCUGAGAAAGAUUUUGUUUCGGUGGGGGAUGGGCUCGCGGCGUAUUAGCUGGUUGGUGGGGUGAUGGCUUACCAAGGCGGCGACGCGUAGCCGGCCUGAGAGGAUGGUCGACCGCAACACAGGGGCGGAGCCGCCGACAAGCCUCCUAGGGGAGGCAGCAGGGGAUAUUACUGAACAGUGGGAGGAAUGCUGAUGCAGCGACGCCGCGGGGGUGAUGGUGUCCUGCGGGUUGUAAACCGUUUUCGGGAGUGAAGCAGGGUGUCCGUGUUUGUGCGUGGGUUGACGGUAGCUGGACAAGAAGCGCCGGCUAACUACGUG
Molecule: ribosomal RNA, 497 nt
Filed under: uncultured bacterium
Lineage: Bacteria
Description: partial 16S ribosomal RNA
Rfam family: Bacterial small subunit ribosomal RNA
Source: RNAcentral